RNAcentral lists this transfer RNA (88 nucleotides) under Thermanaerothrix daxensis. It matches the Rfam family "tRNA". Rfam says of the family: Transfer RNA (tRNA) molecules are approximately 80 nucleotides in length. Their secondary structure includes four short double-helical elements and three loops (D, anti-codon, and T loops). Lineage: Bacteria; Bacillati; Chloroflexota; Anaerolineae; Anaerolineales; Anaerolineaceae. The record is from Rfam by way of RNAcentral.
GGAGAGGUAGCGUAGCCUGGCCUAACGCGCGCGCCUGGAGAGCGCGUGUACCGAUGAGGUACCGCGGGUUCGAAUCCCGCCCUCUCCG